RNAcentral lists this ribosomal RNA (380 nucleotides) under uncultured eukaryote. RNAcentral's name for it is "partial 18S ribosomal RNA". It matches the Rfam family "Eukaryotic small subunit ribosomal RNA", at positions 592 to 976 of the family's 1831-position model. The record is from RNAcentral.
CAAUAGCGUAUAUUAAAGUUGUUGCGGUUAAAAAGCUCGUAGUUGGAUUUCUGCUGAGGACGAUCGGUCCGCCCACUGGGUGAGUAUCUGGCUCGGCCUUGGCAUCUUCUUGGAGAACGUUGCUGCACUUGACUGUGUGGUGCGGUAUCCAGGACUUUUACUUUGAGGAAAUUAGAGUGUUUCAAGCAGGCGCACGCCUUGAAUACAUUAGCAUGGAAUAAUAAGAUAGGACCUUGGUUCUAUUUUGUUGGUUUCUAGAGCUGAGGUAAUGAUUAAUAGGGAUAGUUGGGGGCAUUCGUAUUAACGCGUCAGAGGUGGAAUUCUUGGAUUGCGUUACGACGAACUACUGCGAAAGCAUUUGCCAAGGAUGUUUUCAUUGA